AUUGAACGCUGGCGGCAUGCUUUACACAUGCAAGUCGAACGGUAACAGGCCUUCGGGUGCUGACGAGUGGCGAACGGGUGAGUAAUGCAUCGGAACGUGCCCAGAGGUGGGGGAUAACGCAGCGAAAGCUGUGCUAAUACCGCAUGUGAUCUGAGGAUGAAAGCGGGGGACCAGGCAGCAAUGUUUGGCCUCGCGCCUUUGAAGCGGCCGAUGUCAGAUUAGGUAGUUGGUGGGGUAAAGGCCUACCAAGCCGACGAUCUGUAGCUGGUCUGAGAGGACGACCAGCCACACUGGGACUGAGACACGGCCCAGACUCCUACGGGAGGCAGCAGUGGGGAAUUUUGGACAAUGGGCGCAAGCCUGAUCCAGCAAUGCCGCGUGCGGGAAGAAGGCCUUCGGGUUGUAAACCGCUUUUGUACGGAACGAAAAGGCUCUGGCUAAUACCUGGGGCUGAUGACGGUACCGUAAGAAUAAGCACCGGCUAACUACGUG
RNAcentral lists this ribosomal RNA (492 nucleotides) under uncultured bacterium. Its description in RNAcentral is "partial 16S ribosomal RNA". It matches the Rfam family "Bacterial small subunit ribosomal RNA", at positions 30 to 507 of the family's 1533-position model. The record is from RNAcentral.